Molecule: long non-coding RNA, 1160 nt
Organism: Triticum aestivum (bread wheat)
Lineage: Eukaryota; Viridiplantae; Streptophyta; Magnoliopsida; Poales; Poaceae
Exons: 2
Source: RefSeq, a predicted model, not a curated record
CUAGGCAUAUCUCCCCGCCAUUCCCCAUUCUUGUGGUCGCUAGCUACCCCUCUCCACCGCGUCAAGCCGGCCCUCGCUACGCUCAGGCGCUCAGCCGUGGCCGCACCACGCCCAGCUGACUCUACCGUCAGCGCCGCGCCUGCUGCAGCUGCCGCCGUCGCCGCGCCUGCUGCAGCUGUCGCCGCCGCCAAAUCUCUGCCAGCGGGAUGCGGAGGCGUGGGAUUCGAAUUUGGUCGCCGGAUCCGCUCGAGCUCUAUCGGGCGACCCAGCGCAAGCGCCGUCUGAGGCGGAUGCGGAGGAGUGGGAUUCGUCUCCAACAGAUCGGUGGCCGUGGCCAUCCCGCGCCGGUGUUGACCGAGCAACGUGGGUCCCGCCGCCUCACCAGAUGAGCGGUUCGGGUGCUUUUCUUUCCCGGCGAGCUGCCCCGUGCUUGCCCCCAGAUGAGCGUCGGCCUGCCUAGGGGAGUAGUCGAAGAAGCGGCGUCGCGCUCAUCCUCGCCUUCGCCCGAUGCGAGAACUCCCGCUCCGUGCGCCGCCGGCAGCUGGGAAAGAGCAUUGAUGGGAUGGUCAUGGAAGAUGAGGUCAAGAAGGUGCAGGAUGAACGUUGAUGGGAUGCUCAGGGAAGAUGAGGCCAAGGUGGAUACGCCCAUGAUGCAUGGAUGCAUGUAUGAAUUAUACUUGCACAAACAUACCGUGACAAGUAUCUCAUGCCAAGCUUUAGUUUUGCUAAGAGAUCUUGUUGCUCGUAUCUCAUGCCAAGCUUUAGUCCCUCUGCCUCCUUAAUUCCUUAGGAUCUGCGUAGAUAAUAAAACUAAUUAGUGUAAAUAGACAGGGUUGUAUAUACUUUGUUGAUAGUCAUUACCAAUGGACAUGGACACCGGUGUACGUCUUUCAUUUUCCUGGGCAUUGUUGUUAGCAGAAACAACGACCAUUGUUGACUCACUGUAGGGCUGAUGUUGCCUCCUAAGCUCGUCAGGGUCUAAUAUAUGAUACAUUAUAGUUAUACUUUAGCAUACAAAGGUAGUAUUUGGAUAAUACAGAAGCAUUCAGUACAAGGGCAUUAACCUUGGGCUAUCGGCUCGGGUGUAUGUGCUACAUUCUGCUCAUCACCAAGCAGUGCCGUUGAAGCCUGUUUCUUUUCACGGGCUUCACGAUGUCUUC